CCUACGAGUGGCAGCAGUGGGGGAUAUUGCACAAUGGGGGGAACCCUGAUGCAGCGACGCCGCGUGGGUGAAGAAGCGCCUCGGCGCGUAAAGCCCUGUCAGCAGGGAAGAAAAUGACGGUACUUGAAGAAGAAGCCCCGGCUAACUACGUGCCAGCAGCCGCGGUAAUACGUAGGGGGCAAGCGUUAGCCGGAUUUACUGGGGGUAAAGGGGGCGCAGACGGCGAUGCAAGCCAGGAGUGAAAGCCCGGGGCGCAACCCGGGGACUGCUCUUGGGACUGCGUGGCUGGAGUGCAGGAGGGGCAGGCGGAAUUCCUGGUGUAGCGGUGAAAUGCGUAGAUAUCAGGAGGAACACCGGUGGCGAAGGCGGCCUGCUGGACUGCAACUGACGUUGAGGCGCGAAAGCGUGGGGAGCAAACAGGAUUAGAUACCCCUGUAGUC
Molecule: ribosomal RNA, 440 nt
Filed under: uncultured bacterium
Lineage: Bacteria
Description: partial 16S ribosomal RNA
Rfam family: Bacterial small subunit ribosomal RNA
Source: RNAcentral